RNAcentral lists this ribosomal RNA (305 nucleotides) under uncultured bacterium. RNAcentral's name for it is "bacterial SSU rRNA". It matches the Rfam family "Bacterial small subunit ribosomal RNA", at positions 337 to 656 of the family's 1533-position model. The record is from RNAcentral.
GCCUACGGGGGGCAGCAGUGGGGAAUAUUGGACAAUGGGGGGAACCCUGAUCCAGCGACGCCGCGUGAGUGAAGAAGUAUUUCGGUAUGUAAAGCUCUAUCAGCAGGGAAGAAAGGAAUGACGGUACCUGACUAAGAAGCCCCGGCUAACUACGUGCCAGCAGCCGCGGUAAUACGUAGGGGGCAAGCGUUAUCCGGAUUUACUGGGUGUAAAGGGAGCGUAGGCGGCUGUGUAAGCCAGAAGUGAAAGCCCGAGGCUCAACCACGGGACUGCUUUUGGAACUACAUGGCUUGAUUGCAGGAGAG